This is a long non-coding RNA of Felis catus (domestic cat), 5418 nucleotides long. RefSeq lists it as uncharacterized. The record is from RefSeq and is a predicted model, not a curated record. The transcript is spliced from 3 exons. Lineage: Eukaryota; Metazoa; Chordata; Mammalia; Carnivora; Felidae.
UCUCCAAAUGCCUCACCUGACCCAGGUUUGGUCGUUGCUCCCCAGGACCUCCCCCUCUUCUUCAAGGAGCUUAUUUGGAAAACUCUAAAGCACAAAGUGGAAAUUUCCACACAUCUCCCAGGCUGAGCCCUGUCAGUGGAGUCCUUUCCUCAGCCCCACAUCCCACCCUGAGCCCUUUGGCGCCCCCCAGUGCAGGCAGCUGCGGUGUUCGGGAGCCAGACUGGCUGGGUCUGAAUGUGGGCUCCUCCAGCUACCUGUCUUCGGGGCCUGGGACAAGUCACUCCAGGUCUCUGUGUCAUAGGAUGGAGGGAGACAAUUGGAGAGGGUUCCCUUUCUGCACCAAGGGUUUCGGGGAAACUUGGGUAAGCUGGCCACCUGAGCUCUCUGCCGAGUUCUCCAGAAUGGUCACGAACCCCGGGCACCUCCAGGCUCCUGCCCCUGGAAGGUGUUACGGCCACAUCUCUGUGGCCCUCGUGGCCUGAAGACACCACACGGGUCCCUUCCAUCCUGUCUGCUUUCUCUGCCCCUAAGUACUUUCACGUGCAUGGCCUUCUGCGACACUUGUAGGACUUGCUGAGAUGGGAACGGGGUCAUUGCCGAUGCGAUGGUUAAGAUGGGUGGGCCCUUAUCCAAUACGGCCUGUGUCCUUAUAAAAAGGGGAGAUGGGGAGACAGGUGCACAGGGAGAGAACACCAUGUGACGGUGACGUCAGCUAUCAGAGCGAUGUGAUUACGAGCCAAAGAAGGCCAAGGAAGCUACAGCAGCGUCGUGGAACAGACUCCCUCACAGCCCUCAGAAAGAGCCGACCUUGGUAACACCUUGAUCUUGAACUUCCAGCACCCAGAACUGAGAGACCGUGCAUUUCUGUUGCUUCCCCACCCCAUCUGUGGUGCUUUUUAUGUCAGCCCUCGCAAACGAAUCCAGGGACUGAUGUUAACCACUUUACGACGACGGAGGAACUGAGGACCCCCCGAGAGCCGUCAAGGUCACGCAGGUACUGAGAACACUGAGCGAGCACUUGAUUCCUCUGACACUGUCACAGGGCGUUUGACAGUUUAUACGAGGCAAUCAGUGAUUUCAUCAGGGGCUGGGAAUAAAAACAUGUUGCGAUUUAUUCUCCCAUUAAGCGUGACCAGUUACAACUGCUUUCUGGGUGGUCUGUUCUGAGCUUGAUCUAGACGGUAUUUGGGGAAAACAAUACUUUCACUUAUCACCUGCGUAAGAUCAUAUAGCAAGCCAAAUGAAUGUCAUGGGACCCAUCGUAAAGACUGCAGCCCUCAGACACGCUAUCAGCAUGCUGGGUAAUUAGAACGAGACUGGCAUGUUAGGCAGCUUAAUUUACGGCCCCUUUGGCAUUUUGGCACAGCCUUGGCCUUCUGAUCCAGGCGUCCUUUUCUGCUUUAUAUCCUUGGGUGUGGAUGAUUCUCAACUUCUUUCCUUGGGAGCAACUCCCCCCGCCCCCCUUCUCCCUGCGACUCCGCUGAGCCGGUUCCCACACCGUGCUGUCAGCCCGCCAGGGGAGUUUUGGAGUGCGUGGAGGUGGGAAGGGCAGUGGCCAUCGGUGUGGAGGUCUGCAACACAUAUUUCCAUCGAUCGUUGUGUGGCCUUGGCCAAGCCAGCUCCCCUUCUGGGCUCUGGUUUUCCCACCAGCCAACUGAGGGGCUUGGACAGGAAGGUUUGCUCUUGCCAAACUGGGAGGAGCUUGGAGAUCUGCAAAGAAGAUAGAGGAGGCCAAGAGCGGGGCUGGCUCACCAGCUAUUUUUGGUGUUCAAAACUCCCAUAAAAGUGGUGGGUUUUUCUCCAUCAUGAGCCUAAGCAGGACAUCCGGAGGUUGGGCAUCCGUCAGCUCAGCUUGGUCCUCUAAUUUUGCCCAUGCUCACCGGACCCUCUUGGGUGAAAAAGGCAGGAAACAUGAAUUAAUUCUAAUUUGUACAAUGUAAUUGGUAAGCAACUCUUCCAAUAGAUGUCUUUUAUUAAAAGACAUCUUUGAUUCUGAAAACGUGGAGAACAAGGGAGCUGGCGGACCCCAGACGGCUGUCCGCUCUAAACGCCUGUGAUCCCAGUCCUACACCGGACUGGUGCCCUCAAGCUCAGCGGUCCAGGUGGCGGAAGCCCAGCAUCUGUGACCCGUCUCUCAUGUUCUCAACAGCUGUGUCCCGUAACUUCCCUCCCUCCCCUGGUCAUGCCACAUCCUCUCUCUUCAGGUUGUAAUUGAGGGUCGUAUGCUCUGGAAGGGUUUCCAGCCCCAGCUGGUUGCCAGUUGCUGAGAUCAUCCUUGGCCGUGUUUGUGUACCUCUCUGCGUUGAGAAUGACUCUCGAAUAUGUCUUCGUGUUGCAUGUGGCACCCCUUCGCUGCAAGACGUGCAACUCCUUGAGUAUCGGGACGGGGCUGUUGACAGCCCGUAACUGGAUCUGGGGCCAUGGAUUCUUCCAGCCUCUGGCCAAGACCUCUGCCUCCGGCACUGUGGCAUCAGCUUCCGUGAGGAAGGGUCUCGGGGGGAGUGAAUCGGUGAUGGCCAGCGCAGCUAGUGAGGGGCCGAGUCGGAAAACAAACCCAGGCCUGGCUGAUUUGGUAAGCAGUGUUCCCUUCUCUGUAAUGAUGUCAUAUGCCACACCGCAGCCCAUCUAGCUCAGGGGGACUGGGGGUGAUGGACUCAGGGGGCAGGACCGGCUUUAGUGGGGCUUAAUAGCAACAUAUAACCUUCGUGGGGCAAGAGAAGUGCUUUCCUGAACUCCUAAGGCAUCCAGAGGAACAGCAGGGUCAAGGCCAGCUUUAGAGGCCGGUGGGGAGGUCUGCUUAAGGUCUGGGCAUGGCUGAUGCGGGUGGUGCACCUGAGGUGAGUCCCAGAGGCUCACUGGUACAGCGUGGAGAAUCAAGAUCACAGGGAGUGCUGUUGUCUAUCCAUUUCCUUCUUUUCCUCUAAUGAUAGAAUUCCCUCCCUUGUUUUGAAGUUGGGCACGUCGCUGCCCCACCUGAGGGCUACUUUCCCCCGACUCUCUGGCGAUGUGACUAAGUUCUAGCCAGUGGUUUGCAAGCAGUAGUGAGGAAGUUUCCUUGAAGAGAAGGAAUGUUCCUUUACCUUCCCCUUUCCUUCUCGCUGCAAUCUGGAAAGCAGACGUGAUGGCUGGUGUUGGAGCAGCAAACUUGGCCUUGAAGUGACCUCGUAAACCUGAGGGGACCACAGCAUGGAAGGUGCCGCUUCACGACACUGUGGAGUAUUAUACUAACUAGAGGACUCUAUCUCUGGAUAUCCUAUCUCUGGAUUUGUGGUGACAAACUUCACUCUCAGGACUAAUAGCAGAAUAGAGAAGGCAGAAAAAAGAAUCAGUGAAUGUAAAAGUUCACCAGUAGAAAUGUUCCAAUCUGAAGAAGAAGGAGAAAGAUUUCUUAAAAAAAGAACAAGCCCUCUAGGAUUUGUAAGACAAUAGCAGACGUCUACUGAUGUCUCAGAAGAAAGGAGAGAAAUGAUGGGGCAGAAAAAAUAUUUGAAGAAAUAGUGACUGAAAAUUUCCCCGAUCUGCUGAAAGUCAUGAAUUUAUAGAUUCAAGAGAUCCAGUGAACCCCAAGAAAAAUAAGCGUAAAGAAAACCACAUCUGGAUGCAUUAUAGUCAGAAUACUGAAAACCAGAGAGAAAGAGAAUAUUUCAAAGCAGCGAGAGAAAAACAACACAUUACGUAGUGGGGAACAGUAAUUUUGACACCCACAGACUUCUUGUGAGAAAACAUGGAGUACCAGAAAAUAGUGGAACGACAUCGUUAAAGUACCAGAAGGAAACAUUGUCAACCUAGAAUUCUAUAUACAGCAAAUAUAUCCCUCCAAAAAGAAAGCAGACACUCUUUUACAAUGCCAGCAGAUCUUCACUGGAAGAAAAGCAAAACAAGUUCUUCAAGCUGGUGGGAAAUUAUACCAGAGGGAAACUUGGACCCCCAGAAAGGAAUAAAGAACACCAGUAAUGGCAGUGUGCUCCUGAAGGGACCAUCUCUCUGCUGAGUUCCCAGGCCUGAGGACAGAAUUGGAUGCUUAUGGCAUGGUCCUGACCAAAUGCAGAACAUCCCAGAAUCAGCACCCGGGAAGACACAGCCGUCACGGAAUCCAACCUGACAAAUGUCUCAGUCUCCCUUAAUAGAAAUCUCUCAUCUAAGAUUAGUUUUUAAACAGAUUUCUUAAGGUAAUUAACGUGCACAUUGUAUUUUUAAAAACUUGGCCAUUAAAAGUCAGCCUUCCUCCUAUCCUGGAACUAUAAAUGAAUAAACACAAAGUUUUGCUAUGUGUUCAGUCUGAACCCCCUCCUGGGGGACAGGUGGCAGGGCGUGGGGUGGGGCUGGACACACCAGCGACAGGAGCAGUUGGGUUUUGCAUUCUUUUCUGCUCAAGCAGAUGUCUGCCUCAUGUUCUUUUUUUAGCUUUGGAAACCAACUUCCUGGAAUCUAUGUCCUCACCAUGGGCAAGCAAUAAUAGUAUUCCAGAAAGCUUGUUUUUAUGGAGGAAAAUCCAGCUAAGCAUAGUGGGCUGGUCCUGCCAGUUUCAUCAAACGCAGAAUUUGCGUGAAGAGGAAAGUCCUUCAUAACUGAGAGUUGAAGGAGUAUGGGUGGGGGAGUGUAGCUAGAAAUAAUCUCUGCUGGUUAAAUUUAGGGAUUUAAAAAACAAGCCACUGGUGAAACGCUAUUUAAUAUUCAAAUGGUUUGGAAUUGUUUCUCUUCAGAGGACAGGAGAGUGGAAAAGUGAAAAGGUCAUGGGCUAUGGAAUCUGAUAGAAUUGGUUUCAUUCCCAUUCUGUCGCUCAUGGCGGUAGCAAGUCACUAAGCACUAAGCCUCAGUUUUCCCAUCUGUGAAAUGAUCCUGGCAUAUAGUAAAUACUUGACAAAUACAGUUUUCCUACCCAUCACUUCCAUCUCCCUGUGCGUUGGUGUUUUCUGGCUGCCGAAUAACAAACCAUUCCCAAACCAAGUGCCCUCAAUGGACGAGGCGUUAUUCGUGCUGAGUGCUCAAGCAGCAUCCAGUCAUGGCUUCUGGUAUUCUCGCCCUUCUUUGAUCCUCUGCCCUUAUGUGUGGCUGGACACAGUGACUUUCUUCUAAUGAGUGGAUGUGGCAAAAGUGAUGGGAUGUCACUUCUGUGAUUAGGUUACAAGGCCGGUGGCUUCCAUCUUGCUCCCAUUUUGGUUCAACCGCCAUGGCUUGCGGGAAGUAAGCCACCACGUGAUAAUUGGGCUCACCCGACAGGGAACUGGAGGCCAUCCUGCCAGCAGCCACAGGAGUGAGCUUGGACUGCAGCAGCCUUCCCCAGGGGCACCUUGUGACGAUUAAAGCCCCAGGCAAUACCUUGAUCACAGCCCUUGAAAGGCCUUGGUGCAGGGGACCCAGCCAAGCCAUGUCCAGAUUCCUGAUCUGCAGAGGCUGUGGGAAAAUAAAUGUCUCAAG